This 432-nucleotide ribosomal RNA is filed under the name uncultured bacterium. RNAcentral describes it as "partial 16S ribosomal RNA". It matches the Rfam family "Bacterial small subunit ribosomal RNA", at positions 338 to 795 of the family's 1533-position model. The record is from RNAcentral.
CCUACGGGUAGCUGCAGUGGGGAAUAUUGGACAAUGGGCGCAAGUCUGAUCCAGCAAUGCCGCGUGUGUGAAGAAGGCCUUCGGGUUGUAAAGCACUUUUAUCGGGAACGCGGUACCCGAGGAAUAAGCACCGGCUAACUUCGUGCCAGCAGCCGCGGUAAUACGAAGGGUGCAAGCGUUAAUCGGAAUUACUGGGCGUAAAGGGUGCGUAGGCGGUUGUUUAAGUCUGUUGUGAAAUCCCCGGGCUCAACCUGGGAAUGGCAAUGGAUACUGGACAGCUAGAGUGUGUCAGAGGAUGGUGGAAUUUCCGGUGUAGCGGUGAAAUGCGUAGAGAUCGGAAGGAACAUCAGUGGCGAAGGCGGCCAUCUGGGACAAACUGACGCUGAAGCACGAAAGCGUGGGGAGCAAACAGGAUUAGAUACCCUUGUAGUC